GCCAGGUGUGGUGGUGUGUGUCUGUAGUCCUAGCUAUUUGGGAGGCUGAGGUGGGAGAAUUGCUUGAGCCCAGGAGUUCAAGGCUGCAGUGAGCUAUAAUCAUGCCACUAUACUUCUACCUGGGCAACAGAGCAAGACCCCAUCUCUA
Molecule: non-coding RNA, 148 nt
Filed under: Pan troglodytes (chimpanzee)
Lineage: Eukaryota; Metazoa; Chordata; Mammalia; Primates; Hominidae
Source: Rfam by way of RNAcentral